GAUGAACGUUGGCGGCGUGCCUAAUACAUGCAAGUCGAACGGAGAUUGUAGCAAUACGGUCUCAGUGGCGAACGGGUGAGUAACGCGUUGGUGACCUGCCCCGAAGUGUGGAAUAACAGAUCGAAAGAGCUGCUAAUACCGCAUAAUAUCCAGGAGAUUAGAUGCUUCUGGAUUAAAGGAUUUAUCCGCUUCGGGAGGGGCCUGCGUCCCAUCAGCUAGUUGGUAAGGUAAAGGCUUACCAAGGCGAUGACGGGUAGGGGACCUGAGAGGGUGGCCCCCCACAAUGGAACUGAAACACGGUCCAUACACCUACGGGUGGCAGCAGUAGGGAAUAUUAGUAAUGGGCGAAAGCCUGAACUAGCAACGCCGCGUGUGCGAAGAAGGCCUUCGGGUCGUAAAGCACUUUUUGAGAGGAUGAGGAAGGACGGUACUCUCAGAAUAAGUCUCGGCUAACUACGUG
Molecule: ribosomal RNA, 460 nt
Filed under: uncultured bacterium
Lineage: Bacteria
Description: bacterial SSU rRNA
Rfam family: Bacterial small subunit ribosomal RNA
Source: RNAcentral